Molecule: non-coding RNA, 31 nt
Filed under: Rattus norvegicus (Norway rat)
Lineage: Eukaryota; Metazoa; Chordata; Mammalia; Rodentia; Muridae
Source: RNAcentral
UGGAUUUUGCUACAUCAUCAAUAGUGGAAGC